This 71-nucleotide transfer RNA is filed under the name Loxodonta africana (African savanna elephant). It matches the Rfam family "tRNA". Rfam says of the family: Transfer RNA (tRNA) molecules are approximately 80 nucleotides in length. Their secondary structure includes four short double-helical elements and three loops (D, anti-codon, and T loops). Further hydrogen bonds mediate the characteristic L-shaped molecular structure. tRNAs have two regions of fundamental functional importance: the anti-codon, which is responsible for specific mRNA codon recognition, and the 3' end, to which the tRNAs corresponding amino acid is attached (by aminoacyl-tRNA synthetases). tRNAs cope with the degeneracy of the genetic code in two manners: having more than one tRNA (with a specific anti-codon) for a particular amino acid; and 'wobble' base-pairing, i.e. permitting non-standard base-pairing at the 3rd anti-codon position. Lineage: Eukaryota; Metazoa; Chordata; Mammalia; Proboscidea; Elephantidae. The record is from Rfam by way of RNAcentral.
GCAGUGAUGGUUCAGUGGUAGAACUCUCACCUUCCAUGCAGGAGACCCAGGUUCGAUUCCUGGCCAGUGCA